This 497-nucleotide ribosomal RNA is filed under the name uncultured bacterium. RNAcentral describes it as "partial 16S ribosomal RNA". It matches the Rfam family "Bacterial small subunit ribosomal RNA", at positions 28 to 507 of the family's 1533-position model. The record is from RNAcentral.
GACGAACGCUGGCGGCGUGCCUAAUACAUGCAAGUUGAGCGAUGAAGAUUGGUGCUUGCACCAAUUCGAAGAGCAGCGAACGGGUGAGUAACGCGUGGGGAAUCUGCCUUUGAGCGGGGGACAACAUUUGGAAACGAAUGCUAAUACCGCAUAACAACUUUAAACAUAAGUUUUAAGUUUGAAAGAUGCAAUUGCAUCACUCAAAGAUGAUCCCGCGUUGUAUUAGCUAGUUGGUGAGGUAAAGGCUCCCCAAGGCGAUGAUACAUAGCCGACCUGAGAGGGUGAUCGGCCACAUUGGGACUGAGACACGGCCCAAACUCCUACGGGAGGCAGCAGUAGGGAAUCUUCGGCAAUGGACGAAAGUCUGACCGAGCAACGCCGCGUGAGUGAAGAAGGUUUUCGGAUCGUAAAACUCUGUUGGUAGAGAAGAACGUUGGUGAGAGUGGAAAGCUCAUCAAGUGACGGUAACUACCCAGAAAGGGACGGCUAACUACGUG